Molecule: microRNA, 21 nt
Filed under: Dasypus novemcinctus (nine-banded armadillo)
Lineage: Eukaryota; Metazoa; Chordata; Mammalia; Cingulata; Dasypodidae
Also listed under: 18 other names
Description: dno-miR-376a-3p
Gene: dno-miR-376a-3p
Source: miRBase by way of RNAcentral
AUCAUAGAGGAAAAUCCACGU